RNAcentral lists this ribosomal RNA (253 nucleotides) under bacterium. RNAcentral describes it as "partial 16S ribosomal RNA". It matches the Rfam family "Bacterial small subunit ribosomal RNA", at positions 524 to 776 of the family's 1533-position model. RNAcentral also lists the same sequence under 2 other names. The record is from RNAcentral.
UACGAAGGGGGCUAGCGUUGCUCGGAAUUACUGGGCGUAAAGGGCGCGUAGGCGGACAGUUUAGUCAGAGGUGAAAGCCCAGGGCUCAACCUUGGAAUAGCCUUUGAUACUGACUGUCUUGAGUACGGGAGAGGUGUGUGGAACUCCGAGUGUAGAGGUGAAAUUCGUAGAUAUUCGGAAGAACACCAGUGGCGAAGGCGACACACUGGCCCGUUACUGACGCUGAGGCGCGAAAGCGUGGGGAGCAAACAGG